ACCUGGCGGCGAGUGGCGAACGGGUGAGUAAUAUAUCGGAACUUCCCCAAGAGUGGGGGAUAACGUAGCGAAAGUUACGCUAAUACCGCAUACGAUCUAUGGAUGAAAGUGGGGGAUCGCAAGACCUCAUGCUCCUGGAGCGGCCGAUAUCUGAUUAGCUAGUUGGUGAGGUAAUGGCUCACCAAGGCGACGAUCAGUAGCUGGUCUGAGAGGACGACCAGCCACACUGGAACUGAGACACGGUCCAGACUCCUACGGGAGGCAGCAGUGGGGAAUUUUGGACAAUGGGCGCAAGCCUGAUCCAGCAAUGCCGCGUGAGUGAAGAAGGCCUUCGGGUUGUAAAGCUCUUUUGUCAGGGAAGAAACGGUUGGGGCUAAUAUCCCCGGCUAAUGACGGUACCUGAAGAAUAAGCACCGGCUAACUACGUGCCAGCAGCCGCGGUAAUACGUAGGGUGCAAGCGUUAAUCGGAAUUACUGGGCGUAAAGCGUGCGCAGGCGGUUUUGUAAGUCUGACGUGAAAUCCCCGGGCUCAACCUGGGAAUUGCGUUGGAGACUGCAAGGCUAGAGUCUGGCAGAGGGGGGUAGAAUUCCACGUGUAGCAGUGAAAUGCGUAGAGAUGUGGAGGAACACCGAUGGCGAAGGCAGCCCCCUGGGUCAAGACUGACGCUCAUGCACGAAAGCGUGGGGAGCAAACAGGAUUAGAUACCCUGGUAGUCCACGCCCUAAACGAUGUCUACUAGUUGUCGGGUCUUAAUUGACUUGGUAACGCA
This 770-nucleotide ribosomal RNA is filed under the name Oxalobacter sp. 32AP9. Its description in RNAcentral is "bacterial SSU rRNA". It matches the Rfam family "Bacterial small subunit ribosomal RNA", at positions 83 to 850 of the family's 1533-position model. Lineage: Bacteria; Pseudomonadati; Pseudomonadota; Betaproteobacteria; Burkholderiales; Oxalobacteraceae. The record is from RNAcentral.